AUUGAACGCUGGCGGCAUGCCUUACACAUGCAAGUCGAACGGCAGCACGGGUGCUUGCACCUGGUGGCGAGUGGCGAACGGGUGAGUAAUACAUCGGAACAUGUCCUGUAGUGGGGGAUAGCCCGGCGAAAGCCGGAUUAAUACCGCAUACGAUCUACGGAUGAAAGCGGGGGACCUUCGGGCUCGCGCUAUAGGGUUGGCCGAUGGCUGAUUAGCUAGUUGGUGGGGUAAAGGCCUACCAAGGCGACGAUCAGUAGCUGGUCUGAGAGGACGACCAGCCACACUGGGACUGAGACACGGCCCAGACUCCUACGGGAGGCAGCAGUGGGGAAUUUUGGACAAUGGGCGAAAGCCUGAUCCAGCAAUGCCGCGUGUGUGAAGAAGGCCUUCGGGUUGUAAAGCACUUUUGUCCGGAAAGAAAUCCUUGGCCCUAAUACGGUCGGGGGAUGACGGUACCGGAAGAAUAAGCACCGGCUAACUACGUG
RNAcentral lists this ribosomal RNA (485 nucleotides) under uncultured bacterium. RNAcentral describes it as "partial 16S ribosomal RNA". It matches the Rfam family "Bacterial small subunit ribosomal RNA", at positions 30 to 507 of the family's 1533-position model. The record is from RNAcentral.